GAUGAAGAACGCAGCGAAAUGCGAUAAGUAAUGUGAAUUGCAGAAUUCAGUGAAUCAUCGAAUCUUUGAACGCACAUUGCGCCCGCCAGUAUUCUGGCGGGCAUGCCUGUUCGAGCGUCAUUUCAACCAUCAAGCCCUGCUUGCGUUGGGGUCCUGCGGCUGCCCGCAGGCCCUGAAAACCAGUGGCGGGCUCGCUAGUCACACCGAGCGCAGUAAUACAUCUCGCUUUGGGCGUGCGGCGGGUUCUUGCCGUUAAACACCCCCUUUUUACCAAGGUUGACCUCGGAUCAGGUAGGAAUACCCGCUGAACUUAAGCAUAUCAAUAAGCGGACGA
This 334-nucleotide unclassified non-coding RNA is filed under the name soil metagenome. Its description in RNAcentral is "partial contains 5.8S ribosomal RNA, internal transcribed spacer 2, and large subunit ribosomal RNA". The stretch from base 1 to 120 matches the Rfam family "5.8S ribosomal RNA", at positions 35 to 154 of the family's 154-position model. The record is from RNAcentral.